RNAcentral lists this ribosomal RNA (253 nucleotides) under uncultured bacterium. RNAcentral's name for it is "partial 16S ribosomal RNA". It matches the Rfam family "Bacterial small subunit ribosomal RNA", at positions 524 to 776 of the family's 1533-position model. The record is from RNAcentral.
UACGUAGGGUGCAAGCGUUGUCCGGAAUUAUUGGGCGUAAAGGGUGCGUAGGCGGUUUGGUAAGUCUGAUGUGAAAUCUAUGGGCUCAACUCAUAGUCUGCAUCGGAAACUGCCGGGCUUGAGUGUGGGAGAGGUGAGUGGAAUUCCUGGUGUAGCGGUGAAAUGCGUAGAUAUCAGGAGGAACACCAAUGGCGAAGGCAGGUCUCUGGGCCACAACUGACGCUGAGAAGCGAAAGCGUGGGGAGCGAACAGG